CUCAAAUCAGUCUCACGUGAAAGUAAAACAUUUUCUGAUGGCUGGAGGACCACAGCACAGGGGCAAAUUUCCUGAUAGAAGUCACCUGCCUACUUGAGUCCCAAGGACUAAAAUGUCACUCAACUUCUUCAAGGCUGAUUUCCAUCAGUGAAUUGAAUGUUCCAGUGCCAGCCACUGCCUCAGUUGAAGAUUGUAUGGCCGGAUGCAGUGACUCACACCUAAUCCCAGCACUUUGGGAGGCCAAAG
This 246-nucleotide long non-coding RNA is filed under the name Homo sapiens (human). RNAcentral's name for it is "HSALNT0296517". Lineage: Eukaryota; Metazoa; Chordata; Mammalia; Primates; Hominidae. The record is from RNAcentral.